AGUGAACGCUGGCGGUAGGCCUAACACAUGCAAGUCGAACGGCAGCACAGUAAGAGCUUGCUCUUACGGGUGGCGAGUGGCGGACGGGUGAGGAAUGCAUCGGAAUCUACUUUUUCGUGGGGGAUAACGUAGGGAAACUUACGCUAAUACCGCAUACGACCUACGGGUGAAAGCAGGGGAUCUUCGGACCUUGCGCGAUUGAAUGAGCCGAUGUCGGAUUAGCUAGUUGGCGGGGUAAAGGCCCACCAAGGCGACGAUCCGUAGCUGGUCUGAGAGGAUGAUCAGCCACACUGGAACUGAGACACGGUCCAGACUCCUACGGGAGGCAGUAGUGGGGAAUAUUGGACAAUGGGCGCAAGCCUGAUCCAGCCAUACCGCGUGGGUGAAGAAGGCCUUCAGGUUGUAAAGCCCUUUUGUUGGGAAAGAAAAGCAGCAGGUUAAUACCCCGCUGUUCUGACGGUACCCAAAGAAUAAGCACCGGCUAACUUCGUG
RNAcentral lists this ribosomal RNA (492 nucleotides) under uncultured bacterium. RNAcentral's name for it is "partial 16S ribosomal RNA". It matches the Rfam family "Bacterial small subunit ribosomal RNA", at positions 29 to 507 of the family's 1533-position model. The record is from RNAcentral.